RNAcentral lists this transfer RNA (77 nucleotides) under Escherichia coli. RNAcentral describes it as "tRNA-Arg". It matches the Rfam family "tRNA". From Rfam's summary of the family: Transfer RNA (tRNA) molecules are approximately 80 nucleotides in length. Their secondary structure includes four short double-helical elements and three loops (D, anti-codon, and T loops). Further hydrogen bonds mediate the characteristic L-shaped molecular structure. tRNAs have two regions of fundamental functional importance: the anti-codon, which is responsible for specific mRNA codon recognition, and the 3' end, to which the tRNAs corresponding amino acid is attached (by aminoacyl-tRNA synthetases). tRNAs cope with the degeneracy of the genetic code in two manners: having more than one tRNA (with a specific anti-codon) for a particular amino acid; and 'wobble' base-pairing, i.e. permitting non-standard base-pairing at the 3rd anti-codon position. Lineage: Bacteria; Pseudomonadati; Pseudomonadota; Gammaproteobacteria; Enterobacterales; Enterobacteriaceae. The record is from RNAcentral.
GAUGGUGUAGCUCAGUAGGAUAGAGCAGCAGCCUUCUAAGCUGUCGGUCGGUGGUUCGAAUCCGCCCACCAUCGCCA